CGCCAGCCAAUAAUCGGUCUGCGUUAUCGGUUGCCGCCUAUCGGUCGUAACCAUAGACAAGUAUACUAACUCGUCUAAACUAACUUUAGUCGUAACUCGUAAUGUCGCGUGAACGCCGUGAACACAAGAUUCCAUGGACGUCCAUGGUGCCGCGGAGGGUGGUGGUCAUCUCCAACGGUCGUCACUCGUUCUCCGUGGGACUUUGUGACUUGUGUAUUGUCUAAAGUUUUUGUUACUUAACCUUGCCGUGGUCUCCGACGUCAGUGAUUAUUAUAAUUUAUAUUUUAUUAAUUUAAAAUAGUUUUGACUUUUUAAACUGUUGUCGUUUAACGUUGUACGUUUUUAUAUCUAACGACUCCAACGGUUGUCACUCAUCAUUGAACAUUCGCUGUCGGAAUUUGUUUCUACAACUGUGUGUCUGUGUGGUACUGUCUAUGGCCGCCGGUUGUCGCCAUCAGUGGUUAUUAUAUUUUAUUCAUUUCGAAAUAGCUUUACGAGCAUUUACGAGUUACCUAUUUAGUGAAUAUUAUAUAUUCUGGUUAAUGAACUAUCCAGAUUAGUAGGUAGAUCUAUAUCAGACUCAGUACGCCGUAUGAUGCAAAAAUUGUAUGAUGAUACGUGGCUGAAGUAUUAUUCUUAUAUUAGUUAUAUUGGACAUAAAGGAAAAAACAAAUUGUCAUCUCUCAGUUCUUGUAAAAUUAUUUUUGUUUGAAAAAGUACCAGAUAUAGAAAUCGCAUUGUCAAUUAGCAAGUGGAUGGCACAAUCAAGCAAUCAUUUAAAAAAGAAAUGUACUAUUACAGAAAACACUUGUGAACUUUAAUAAUUUUCCAUUUUUUUUUUUUUUUUUUUUUUUUUUUUAUCA
This is a long non-coding RNA of Rhopalosiphum padi (bird cherry-oat aphid), 863 nucleotides long. RefSeq lists it as uncharacterized. Lineage: Eukaryota; Metazoa; Arthropoda; Insecta; Hemiptera; Aphididae. The transcript has 3 exons. The record is from RefSeq and is a predicted model, not a curated record.